This 212-nucleotide non-coding RNA is filed under the name Bhargavaea cecembensis. RNAcentral describes it as "T-box sequence". It matches the Rfam family "T-box leader". Rfam says of the family: Uncharged tRNA acts as the effector for transcription antitermination of genes in the T-box leader family. T-boxes are found upstream of many aminoacyl-tRNA synthetase genes and some amino acid biosynthetic genes usually in Gram-positive bacteria. The anticodon of a specific tRNA base pairs to a specifier sequence within the T-box motif, and the NCCA acceptor tail of the tRNA base pairs to a conserved bulge in the T-box antiterminator hairpin. Lineage: Bacteria; Bacillati; Bacillota; Bacilli; Caryophanales; Caryophanaceae. The record is from RNAcentral.
CUUGAGACGAUGAGGGGAAGCAGUAGCGGGAAACGCCUUUUUCAGAGAGCCGGCGGGUGGUGCGAGCCGGCAGGGGCGUCCGUGAAUCCGUCCCUGAGCAGCCGGGCUGAACCAAGCAGUAGGCCCGGCCGGCACAUGGACCGUUAUUCCAUUGAGCGGGCCGCGAUCUGCGGCCAAUCAGGGUGGCAACGCGGGUGGCUCUCGUCCCUUUU